AGCUUGCUUCUCUGGAUGAGUUGCGAACGGGUGAGUAACGCGUACGUAACCUGCCUGGUAGCGGGGGAUAACUAUUGGAAACGAUAGCUAAUACCGCAUAAUAGUAGAUGUUGCAUGACAUUUGCUUAAAAGGUGCAAUUGCAUCACUACCAGAUGGACCUGCGUUGUAUUAGCUAGUUGGUGGGGUAACGGCUCACCAAGGCGACGAUACAUAGCCGACCUGAGAGGGUGAUCGGCCACACUGGGACUGAGACACGGCCCAGACUCCUACGGGAGGCAGCAGUAGGGAAUCUUCGGCAAUGGACGGAAGUCUGACCGAGCAACGCCGCGUGAGUGAAGAAGGUUUUCGGAUCGUAAAGCUCUGUUGUAAGAGAAGAACGAGUGUGAGAGUGGAAAGUUCGCACUGUGACGGUAUCUUACCAGAAAGGGACGGCUAACUACGUGCCAGCAGCCGCGGUAAUACGUAGGUCCCGAGCGUUGUCCGGAUUUAUUGGGCGUAAAGCGAGCGCAGGCGGUUAGAUAAGUCUGAAGUUAAAGGCUGUGGCUUAACCAUAGUACGCUUUGGAAACUGUUUAACUUGAGUGCAAGAGGGGAGAGUGGAAUUCCAUGUGUAGCGGUGAAAUGCGUAGAUAUAUGGAGGAACACCGGUGGCGAAAGCGGCUCUCUGGCUUGUAACUGACGCUGAGGCU
RNAcentral lists this ribosomal RNA (689 nucleotides) under uncultured Bacilli bacterium. RNAcentral's name for it is "bacterial SSU rRNA". It matches the Rfam family "Bacterial small subunit ribosomal RNA", at positions 77 to 753 of the family's 1533-position model. The record is from RNAcentral. Lineage: Bacteria; Bacillati; Bacillota; Bacilli.